RNAcentral lists this transfer RNA (69 nucleotides) under Leptodactylus fallax (mountain chicken frog). RNAcentral describes it as "tRNA-Ala". It matches the Rfam family "tRNA". From Rfam's summary of the family: Transfer RNA (tRNA) molecules are approximately 80 nucleotides in length. Their secondary structure includes four short double-helical elements and three loops (D, anti-codon, and T loops). Further hydrogen bonds mediate the characteristic L-shaped molecular structure. tRNAs have two regions of fundamental functional importance: the anti-codon, which is responsible for specific mRNA codon recognition, and the 3' end, to which the tRNAs corresponding amino acid is attached (by aminoacyl-tRNA synthetases). tRNAs cope with the degeneracy of the genetic code in two manners: having more than one tRNA (with a specific anti-codon) for a particular amino acid; and 'wobble' base-pairing, i.e. permitting non-standard base-pairing at the 3rd anti-codon position. Lineage: Eukaryota; Metazoa; Chordata; Amphibia; Anura; Leptodactylidae. The record is from RNAcentral.
AAGGCUUUAGUUUAAUAAAAGUGUCUGAGUUGCAUUCAGGAGAUGUGGGUUAGUAUCCUGCAGGUCUUA